CAAUUGAUUUACCAUAUAAAGUUAUUUAUUUUAGAAAAUUUGUAAUGUUCACUGAAAUAAUACAGGUAAGUACAGAAUUAAUAAAUUUAUAAUUUUAAGGUUGUGGGUGGCCAAUGUUUUUAAUCAAUAAUUCAUUCUAUGUACAUAUAUACAUACAUAUAAAGUGGCAGAUACUAUGAGUAUCCAAGUAAUUCUUUGAUAUGUUUAAAAUAAGUGAUACAUAUAUAAGUGAAUGAUCCGUAAAUGCAAAGUAACAAAGUUUUACUAAACAUUUAGUAUAAAAAGUAUUGUCUUUAAUUGCGUCCGAAUUUGAAGGGGAAAAGAAAAUUUUUGAUGGGAGUUGGGAGUUAAUCUUGUUGUAACAAAAUUAUUUAUUUACGUUUUUAAAAUUUGGAGAAGAAUUGAUAAAGACAUCAUCAAUUCCACAAUUUACCGAUACAUUGUUCUUUAAAACAAGGCGGUUAUAAUGAAGCAUGUCAAGUAAGUUAUUGAUCUAGAUAAAUUGUUAUUGUUAUAUGUCGUAAUGAGUAAUUUUUAUUGACGUUUUCGUGACGAAUAUAAAAAAUAUUAUCCAUUACAAACACCACGAAAUUAAUGAGAAUAAUUUUCGGAUGUAUGAUUUUAAUCGUUUUCCAUUAUUUUUAACCACACAAACAAACACCCCGAGAUCAUUAGAAUUAUUUAUUUUCCUGAUUUUAUUUUAUCACGCCUAUUGACGUCAAUGUAUUGUACUGUCAAUUAAAAUGCUUAUUAAAAUAUUGCAGAUAUGUUAAUUAAAGUAUACAUUAAUUAAAUUCGUAGUUCUGUUUUAAUAUGUGAUUAGAUUACCGAUGUUAUUACUGGUAACAUUUUCUUGAUCAUAUAAAAAUAUCUAUCAUUUUCGUAUCUAUAUAUAAUAAUGUAGAAGGUAAUAAACAUACCUUUAAAUUAAAUUCUGUAAUAACGAAGCUUUUUAGUAUGGGUGAAAAUCUUUCCACAGGAAAAUUCUAAUUUUUCAUUAACAAGCGAAAUUAAAAUCUCGAAAUCCACAAGUUUAUCGUUUUCAUUUGAAUCGAUAAUUUACUUUAAAGUCAUAUUUUUCUUAUGAAGCUUACAGACCUUAUUCCAACUUCGUCUGAUGUCCACGCUUCUGUAAUAAAACUAAUAUUUUUCGGAUUUACUACGCGAUUAUAAUUACUUGACAACAUACUCCCGACGUUUCUCACCCCGUCUGCCCGUGAACUCUGUUGCUCCAAAGUAAACGAAACGUCGGGAAUAUGGAUGCGUUGUUAAAAAUAAUUUAAACGCGUAGUAAAUCCGAUAUAUAUUAGUCUACAAUUCUGUUUUCUCUGUCUUGCAAUAACAAAGUUUUCAAAUUAAUAUUACCUAUUAUGUGCUGUUCUAAUGUUGGUAACACUCUAAAUUAUUUAUAUCAAUAAUUCUUCUUAUAGUUAUAGACUGUCAACAAAAAUAUAGAUGAGAUAUUUAAUUAAAAGAAUUGAAAAAAAAUGAAUACAUUCCAUUUUUAAAAAUUUACUUUAAAUCUAAGCAAUGCUACACUUUUCUUUGCGUACCUAAUGUCUAAGUGCAUGAGAUUAUUGUUUAUCGGCAUUCUAAAUUUCAUAACAAUUGAUCUUGUUUAUCACUGUUUAACCGACUUGGAAAAAGAAGUAAUUAAUGAAUAGUUUUUAUUUUAAUUUAUUAAAAUUUGGAAAGAUAAGGACAAUAGGACAGAUUGUUCUUAAAAAUUAUUUUAGCUUUUUAGCGUUUUCGUAUGUUUACUAUCAAUACUGAGCGUAAAUAUACACGCAAAACCUUUUUACGCAGAUAAUGUGUUAAAGAGUGGUAUUAUGACAGUGGCUGAAUAGUAAAAGAUAUGAUCACAAAAAUUUAAAGUUUUAUAUACGAUCUCAAGAAAAACUCGCUUUGAAUUAACCAACUGCCAUUUUUUUUUCAUGUUUUUUAUUUAUCGAUUGCAUAACUUAAUAAAUAGUUUUUUUUUAUUCAGCUAAAGUUUAAAUAGCUUCACAUUGUAUUUUUCCAUGACAGAACGAGAUAAAAUAAUAUAUAUAUAUAUUUGUCAGUUUUAAUCCUGUCAUUUUGUUAAGGCCGGAUGUUCGUUUCCGCCGUCAUGUUAUUGCUAAUGUCAAACGGGACACUAAUUAAAUGUGAACUAGACCUUUAAAUUUUAUCGUUUUUUAAACAUAAUUUUUAUUUAGUUAAUAAAUUUUUGUAAUAGUUUUAUAUUGAGAUUGAUGAAGCUCUUUGCGGGGUCGUAGGUAUAUUCUGGUUAUAAGAUUUGAUUUGUUUUACCUUGUUUGCUUAACAGAUUAAAUAAAAAUAUUAUUGAAAGCUCAUAUAUUUUAACUAAUUAUUAAUUCUAAGAGCAUCAUGAUAAACAAUUCCUGUAAUUCAAUACGAGUGUAUUGUUUACUAUAAUUUUUCUCACAUCAGCUUUGUUGGGUAGCAUAUAUUGUAACACAAUAAGCGAGUUUGUUAAAACAUUCUUAUAUAUGUAUGUAUAUCAUACCACUGACGUCAUUUUGCGGUAAGGAAAAAAAAUGUUCUGCUCCGUGAAUUGAAGUCUGUUAGUUAAUGUAGGUACUCGUAAAUUUCAAUUUAAUAUUUAUAAUGUAUUGAGAGAAAAAAAAGACUCGAUUGCUUCAUUAAUGAUGAAAAGUACACAAUGGCUUGUUAUAGCUUUGUUGUUUUCUAUAGUAGGUUGUUUUAUAUUUUUUUUAUAGUUGUCCCACCCACCAUUGACGUCAAUCGACCGGUUUUAUAUGUGUGUGUGUAUGUAUGUAUGUGUGUUUAUAUGUUCGUAUGUGUGGUUUUGUAGGGCCGGCGUUACGGUAAUCAUGUAUUACAAUCAUUUAGAAAUCAGAGAUAAUAUAUGUUCAUAUUUAUAUUAAACAAUUUCUUUGAAAUUAAUCGUUACGUUCACAAGCUAAUGACAUAUGUAAUAAUCCUCAUAUUAUUAUUUUUGUUACCUAAGAGACUUGUGUUUCGCAGAUUUGAAUGUCAUUUAUGUUACCCAUAUGUCUCUAUAAAUAUCUAAGACAAGUACACAUUGAUAAAUUAUAUGUUUCUCUGUUAUUUUUAUUCAGCAGCUAGCUUUAAUUGCUACAUGUAUUUAAGCAUUUAAUAAAAUUUUUAAUCUGUAUGUAUCGAGUAUGAUAACAAUGGUUACAAAUUUACUUUUAAGUGUAAAUUAUACUAUUCAUAUAUGAUUUCAUUUGGAAUAUUGUCAUAGAAAAAAAUUUAUGAGUGUUUUUAUAAUUUCCUUUAGAUUUUUGUGAAAUUUCUUUAUUUAAUUGUUUAGUUAAUAUACUCGUAUAACCAAUCGCCAGCCCUAUUGUGUGAGCAAGUGUCGAAUCACUCGUUGCAAGCGUGUCGCUUGUUAUAAAACAGGAUGGCAUCCAACAUAAAAUUGAUUUCAAUUUCCAACUAACAGUGUCAUCGUUGGCUUACUAAAUUGUCGUAAUUACUGUGUGAACGAUCGCAUACGUUUGUGUUCUUCGAAUAAUGCCUUGGGACUUUAUAUAAUCUGUUAUAAUAAACGCUGAUUGAGGGCGUUGACUCCUGAGCGACCUGGCGAUGGCUGGACCUGGAACCACUUCAUCGGGAACAAGGCUUCUAUGUAUUUUAAUUUUAGUUACAUCCGUUUUCUUUUAUUAACAUAUUAUUCAUUUAUUAAUAUAGAAACAUCUUUAUAUUUUCCAAAAUAUAUCCUGAGAUAUAUCUUCGGAUAUAUUUCGUCAUUUCAUUUUAGUGAGAUGAAAAUAAAUGCGAAGAUAUAUUACUUUUUAGAUAUUUUCAAUUAUAGCUUGUUUAUACGAAGGCAACUUUUAAAUAAAUAUUUUUUUGUUUAAAUAUGUUUAUAAUACAAUUAUUAUGAAUAUUUAAUUAUAUUAUAACAGAAUCAAUAUAUCUCAGAUUACUACAGUAUUAAGUGUAAAAUGUUAAUGUAAAUUAAGAGUGAUAGAGUCUACGUCCUAUAUAUUUGUAGCUAUCAAUUUUUCUUUUGUGUCCCGUCGGCUAAUAACUUCCUCCAAAGAUUCUUAUGUUUAUAUUUAAGACGCUUAUACAUUUUAAUACAAGUUUCCUUAAAGAGUUAUCUAUUUCUGUAAUUCAAUAAUUACGUUAAUUUUAAAUAACGUACAGAUUUAUUGCAAUGUAAUAAUGCACAAAAUUGAGGAAUAGAUAAUUGUUUUUGUUACAUUAUUCUUCGUACUUUAGGUGUUGUAUUGACGUCGGUAAUUCAAUGAGAAGUUGGAAACUCUCAGUAUAUGGUGUGACAAUAGACUUGGUGUAAGCAUAUAGCUAUGCAUAAAUACUUCUUACCCCUUAUCCUUAUGAUCCCCUUCAUUGAAGAACUUUUGUUGUUCCAUGUGUUACGAGUGUAUCGAAAUGUCAGCUAUUUUGCAAAUCCAUUUAAAAAUUUGCAAACAAAAUAUCUUUAUUUUGUUUCCAAUGACAUUCUUGCAUAAUUAAUAUUUUAUUAGUGUAACACUCAUAAAAUUACAUUUAUUUAAAUUUAUUAGCUGUCUGUGUUAAAAUGUUAUUUCUAAAAAAUAUAUUAGGAUUCCAAAUUUUACUUAUAAUUAUCAAGUUCAUUCAAAUUAAUGAUACUUUCUUUACUCAAUAUCUCGAAGUAACCUUCCUGGAACAAUAAAAUGUUUUUCAUAUAAAAAUCUACGAAUAAAUUAUAAAUUAUUAAUAUACGCGUUUCCGUUGAAUUGUGUACUCGAGAUAUUACUCGUAAUGAUAUUAACCAAAUAAUAUUUACAAAUGUUAAUCUUAUUAAAUUUACAGAUAAGUUAAUAUGUUUAUUCAGCAUGAAUAUGUUUUAAUUAAUUAAUAUUUUUUUUUAAAUAAGUUCUCGUAACUUAUAAUCUGUGCAAUAUUAUUAACAAUAUAUUCGUUCUAUUUAUUCUAUGCCGUUAUUUAUAUAAGACUGUUAUAUUUUGUCGGAAAACUUUAUAACCGCAUAAGUUUUAAACGAGCAUUCCAGAAUAGUAACCAAGAAUAACAAUUUAAACAUAUCAUGGUUAUCAUUUAAUUACUUUGAUGUUUGUAAAAACAAUAAUAAUAACCCAAAAAUAUAAUAAAAUAAAAAAGUUAAUAUAAGUAAAACUAUCUUAUGAUAUACUUUUCAUUUAUUGCAUAGAGUGAAAUUUAGUUAUUUUGUAUAAGUUAUACUAUAUUGUAUUCUAUACAUAAGUUGUUGGUAUUAUAAUAUGAGCCUCAGCGUAACUAUGACUUGUAAUAAAAGUGAUUGUUUAAUAA
Danaus plexippus (monarch butterfly) is the source of this 5268-nucleotide long non-coding RNA. RefSeq lists it as uncharacterized. The record is from RefSeq and is a predicted model, not a curated record. Lineage: Eukaryota; Metazoa; Arthropoda; Insecta; Lepidoptera; Nymphalidae. The transcript is spliced from 2 exons.